Ficedula albicollis (Collared flycatcher) is the source of this 516-nucleotide long non-coding RNA. RefSeq lists it as uncharacterized. NCBI's taxonomy places the organism in Eukaryota, Metazoa, Chordata, Aves, Passeriformes, Muscicapidae. The record is from RefSeq and is a predicted model, not a curated record. The transcript has 4 exons.
CGGGGGUCGAUCCAGCUCGUCUGCUUCGUGUUGUGGUCGAUGUAGAAGACUUUGCCGUCGUAAUCCCUCGCCUCCUCCCAGCCAUCGGGAGAAGAGUACCCCAGGCUGGUUACCAUGGUUCAGCUGAUAGAAGCCUUGUCUCCAAAUGACCCAUAUGCCUCCCUCCUCCAGACUCUCUUCAAUAUUUUGACGUCUGUUGUAUUAAGGUAGUCAUGGCACCUGAGGGGAUACUCAGUUCCUGCUCUCUGUCACCACCACGGCAGCCAGACCCACAUCUUUGAUUAUCGGUCAGAUGAGAUCCUUAUGGACGUCGAUCUGAGUUAUAACCAUCUUUACCAAUGUAAUAAUUCUCAUCAGAAGACAUAAAAAUUAUAUUUUGCAUGAAUAAAUGGAAAUUGUAGUUGUUAAAUUUUGGAAAUAAAUGCACUGAAGUCAUUGCUCAAUUGUCUAGUUUUUAUAUAUAUGCUUGUGUGUCUCUAUACCGAUGUACUUACGUUCAAGUAUAAACUGCUGCAU